UACGAAGGGGGCUAGCGUUGUUCGGAAUCACUGGGCGUAAAGCGCACGUAGGCGGAUGUGCCAGUCAGGGGUGAAAUCCCGGAGCUCAACUUCGGAACUGCCUCUGAUACAGCACGUCUUGAGUCCGGAAGAGGUGGGUGGAAUUCCUAGUGUAGAGGUGAAAUUCGUAGAUAUUAGGAAGAACGCCGGUGGCGAAGGCGGCCCACUGGUCCGGUACUGACGCUGAGGUGCGAAAGCGUGGGGAGCAAACAGG
This 253-nucleotide ribosomal RNA is filed under the name uncultured bacterium. Its description in RNAcentral is "partial 16S ribosomal RNA". It matches the Rfam family "Bacterial small subunit ribosomal RNA", at positions 524 to 776 of the family's 1533-position model. The record is from RNAcentral.